Molecule: ribosomal RNA, 495 nt
Filed under: Kazachstania sp.
Lineage: Eukaryota; Fungi; Ascomycota; Saccharomycetes; Saccharomycetales; Saccharomycetaceae
Description: partial large subunit ribosomal RNA
Rfam family: Eukaryotic large subunit ribosomal RNA
Source: RNAcentral
GUAGAGGGAUACUUUGGGACCGUUCCUUGUCUAUGUUCCUUGGAACAGGACGUCAUAGAGGGUGAGAAUCCCGUGUGGCGAGGAGUGCGGUUCUAUGUAAAGUUCUCUCGAAGAGUCGAGUUGUUUGGGAAUGCAGCUCUAAGUGGGUGGUAAAUUCCAUCUAAAGCUAAAUAUUGGCGAGAGACCGAUAGCGAACAAGUACAGUGAUGGAAAGAUGAAAAGAACUUUGAAAAGAGAGUGAAAAAGUACGUGAAAUUGUUGAAAGGGAAGGGCAUUUGAUCAGACAUGGUGUUUUGCGCCCUCUGCUCCUUGUGGGUGGGGGACUCUCGCAGCUCACUGGGCCAACAUCAGUUUUGGUGGUGGGAUAAAUCCUUAGGAAUGUAGCUUGCAAAUUUUUUGUAAGUGUUAUAGCCUGGGGAAAUACCGCCAACCGGGACUGAGGACUGCGACUUUUGUCAAGGAUGUUGGCAUAAUGGUUAAAUGCCGCCCGUCUUG